RNAcentral lists this non-coding RNA (4363 nucleotides) under Pongo abelii (Sumatran orangutan). Lineage: Eukaryota; Metazoa; Chordata; Mammalia; Primates; Hominidae. The record is from RNAcentral.
AAGGAAGGAGGGUGACUGCAGAGACCGGCCCUGGGCAGCGGUACCAGGGGCACAGGGAGCCUGGCCCGGCCCGUUGUCACUGGAAUUCAUGCCAUGCAGACUUCUACAUCAAAGGGAAACGAGGUCGGGAGGGCCGAGGGGUCCACAGCACUCUGCACCCAUGGGGCCAGGCUGGCGGAAUGCCCCAAUGCUGCAACCCUGGGGAGAGUCACACGCGCCCUCCCGGGACCCACGUGACCGUCAAGGGAGUGUGGCGGACACAUCCCUCAGGGUGACACCCCUGCAGAUGGAGUUUCCCCAUCUGUGCCACCCUUGCAAGGCCUAAGAAAGGCUGCGGGGCCAGGCGGCACCAGGCAAGCUGAGUGCCAGGUGGUUGUUGCAACAUGCUGGGCAAAUCUGAAACCAUGGGGACGGACGAGCUGCACCCCUGGGAAAGAGGACAGAGGGAGGCCAGUUAUCAACGUCCUCCUGUGCCUCGGUUUCCAGAAACAAGCCAGACUCAGUGCCUCAGGGAGACCCCGUGUGGCCUCCGGAGAGCACGGGACCCGCCCUUUGUGCAGGUGACGAAACCAAACCCCAGAGCAGUGAGGGACUGGACCGGGGACCCUGGGCUCAGCCCCGGGCGCCUUCCCUCUGUCCAUCUCAGACAGGCGCACAGCCAGCACCGCCUCACCCCAACGCGCCUCUAGACUGGCCCUCCAGGGGCCCCCGGGGAACAAUCCUCUCACUUUCCUCCUCAAGCCCCCGCCUUUCCCCUUCGCACCGUGACCCAGGGACUGCUAGCAGCUGGGCGGGGCUCCAAGGCUUGAAGCUGCUUCUCCAGGUCUCUUUCCAGGGGGCGGCGGAUGGCUGCUCACUCAGGGACGCCAACACCAACAAGGUGGGACCCAUGCACGGAUCUGACUUCCCUCCCAGGCUCUGCCUUCACUCAAUGUCCCUGUGGGGCAGCUGGGGAUCCCCGCCGCCCUCCCCUGCCCACAGCCGUGAGGUUUCUUCCUAGGGUUCUGUUUUCCCCACAGUUGGAACUGAGGUGCUGGGAGGCUCCAGAAGAGGGACGGGGUGGAGCGAGUGGCCUGGAACCCUCCAGGGCAGACCCCAAAGAGAAGGGUCAGAAGUACCCUCUGGGGCCUGGGCAGAGCCCGCAAGCCUGAGACCCUGUGGGAAGGAAGUGCCCCCACCCCGUGGUAAGAAAGGGGCUGGUAGAGGCUCCUAUGUGGCCCCCUCUGUCCCCUCCCCACCUCUGGCCAGACUUGGGAUGAGCCCUGAGUGGACACAGGCACUACAAUGGGGUCUCGGGGGUGAGGGCUGAGGAGGCUGAGCCUCCAAGGAUCCCAGGGUGCCUGUCCCCACUGCACACCCACCGGGGUACAGGGUAGGGAUAGUGCCAGGAGGGCCACAGCUGCAGGGUCCAUCCCAGGCCGUGGCACACAGGUAGAGGUGGGUGCCAGCCUUCGUGAAGCACCUGCAGAGGCUCCACUCAGGGAGAGAACGAGGCCCUCGCCAAAGGGAUCCUGGGUCACACGGGGCAGCAAGAAAGGGUGGAGCAAGUGGCCUGGAGCAAAGGGUUGGAGAGGCCCCGGUGCGCAUGCUCCCCCAAGCCCAUUCCAGGGCCAUGGGCACCCCCCAAAGGCAGCUGGUGGGACUGCAGCCAUGCAGGUCCUAGAGGGCAGGUGACAGGGGACGUGACAGAAGGGGACAAAGGGCCGGCAACAUCCCUGGGGGAGGCACAGAGAUGGCCAGACUGCCCUCUGUGGACUGCGGAACCCAGAACCCAACGGCCAAUCCUCCCCCUACCCCUCACCCACAGUAAGGGGCCAGGGCUCCAUGCAAUGAGAACCCACGGGUGAUGCCACGCAGGGGAGAGGCCACGCGGGUGAGAGGUCACACGGGGCAGAGGUCACACGGGGCAGAGGUCACAUGGGGGAGGCCGCAGGUGUCACAUGGGGGAGAGGCUACACAGGGGAGAGGCCGCGCGCUGGGGAGACGGCCCCUGCGGGAAGACUCCGAGGCAAUCUGCUGCAGCUCCUUCUGGCUGAAUCUGGUUCAGGAAAUAAAACCAGCCCUUCUGUACAGGUAAGUGAUGCCUGGAUGGAUAAUCUCUGGGCAGCUCACCGCGGUGCUGGCCAUUCUCUUCACAGUAGAAGAGUCCAUUUGGGGAAAAGGUUCCCAUCAGAGAUGGAGAUGUUCCCUUUCAGACUCCAGGCUGUGGCUGUGGGGCCGGCUCCUUACCACACGGGCUGGGGGCUGGGCACAUGGAUGCCCACUCCUGGGCCCUCUUCCUGGUAGGCCACAGCACCACACAAACUGCAAACCAGGCCUCUUCUUCAUCCACCACCACCGUCCAGGCCUCAACAUCACCGCAUGGGGUCUUGUGCCCUUUGGGGAAACUUCUGGGCUAAUGAGGGGGGACAGUCCCCAUUACCGGUCUAUCUUUAUAAGGCAGUAUAUGCAACAGUGGAAGUUCUGUGAGACAUGGGUCAAAGUUCCAACCCCGGGGCGGCUGGCAGAACUGUCCCCAAACCCACCCUCGAUCCCACGGCCAGGAAGUGGGUCCAAAAUUGCCUGGCCAGGUCACACCCCUGCGUGAACUGCCCCACAACACCCAGGGCACUGCCUGACUUGCCGUCCACCUCUCAGCCCCUCCCCUCACCCCUGCCACAGCUGCAGGGCCUACCCUGGCCAGGGGCUGCUCCCUGCUUACCUCCCUCGCCCGUGCAACGCCUCUACUGCCCGCAGGGCCUACCGGGAGAAGUUAUAGGUCACAAUCAUAUUUGAGCGUGAGAAGCUCAUGCAGAGAACAUUCUGGCUGAGGGAGAGGUCUUGGGGUUCAAGACUGUCUCUUGGCUCUGCUCAGCCAUGCCAGGCAGGAAAAUGGGCACCUCUGGCGACCCAGGCUGGCUGAAAGCCUGCAGGGAAGAGCCUUAUGCACGUGUGGGCUGGCAGGACUGCAGCUGGGGUCUCCAUCUACUGCUACAAAGGCAAGGAGGAAAAACGGGGGGGCCCGGAGAUGGCCCCUCUAAGUCUGUAACUCCAGAGCUGCUGCUCAGUCCCCGGAAUGUCACCUCCGAGCAGAGCCUGUGACAACUGUCAACUGUGAAGCUGUGGCGUGGGUUGCUACUGAAGCUCUGAAGUCAGCGAGGACACAGCACGUUUGUUCUAGACCGUUUGGCUGCUGGAGGAAGCUGUACAUGCACACACUCGCCUUACCACCCUGCGAGUCCACAGGCCCCUCCCCGGAGUCACCUCCAGGUAAAGGGGGCCCUGCGUAGGGACUUGCUCUCUGGGGCGCUGAGAUGCUCUAAAAUGAACUGUGCUGCAGUGCACAGCCGCCCGACUGUGCACCCACAACGGGGAACUGAACGCUGCAUGAAUUACAUCUCCAAGUUGUUCUUUGAAAAGGCUUAGGGUCCCUGGAAGACCCUCGCCCACACCCAGCGUGGAGCGUUGUUGCUCACGUGGCCGCACCUCUCGGGAUGGCCGUGGGUCUCUGUGGUUGGCAGGUGAGUGGAACCACAGGUGCUUCCUGUCCUGGUCACAAAGUCAAAGUGGCUGGGCCAAGUGUCCUGAGAAGUGUCACUUCCUGGGAUCCCAUCAGCCUGGCCAUAGCAGAACGCCCAUCCCCGAGGCUCAACUCAACACAUGCAGCCACUGUAGAAAAGUCUGGAAAGUAGUUCUUCAAGCAACUAGACACGGUGAGCAUAAAACCCAGCCAUAACACUCCUAGGCAUCUGUCCCAGAGGAAUGAAAACAUCCCUCCCCUGAAAACUCAUCCUUACGCAGCAGCGUGACUCAAGACGGCCAAAGGCAGAAACACCCCAAAUGUCCAUCAGUGGACAAACGGGCAGACGCAAUGCACUGUCUGUACCAUGGGAUGUCACUCAGCCAUAAGAAGGAAAGAAUCCAUGGUGUGGAUGAGCCCUGGAACCACGGUGAUGCGUGGAAACAGCCAGACGCAAAAGGCCACGUGCCGCGUGAUCCCGUAACACAUGGCCAGAACAGACAUGGCCCGGAACCUGAAGCUGGGAGGAUGCGUGCAGGUGGCGGGGAGACAGAGGGGCGAUGGCUAAGGCAUACCCAAUUUCUUUUGGGCUGAAAAUGGUCUAAAGUUGACUGUGGUGAUGGCUGUACAACUCUGAAUAUGCUGAAAACUCGAAUUAUACACUUCAGUUGGGCGAACUGUACUCUGUGAAUUACCUCUCGAUGAUUCUCUCCUGGGCUCAAGUGCUUCUCCUGCCUUGGCCUCCUGAGUAGCUGGAACUACCAUUCAUGUGGGGAAAUAAAACAACUCAGUCUCAAAAAAAAAACUCAACUCAAAACUCAGUCUCAAAAAUAAAACAAAAAACAAAGUAAAAGAGACUACCAA